UCAAACUUGGUCAUUUAGAGGAAGUAAAAGUCGUAACAAGGUUUCCGUAGGUGAACCUGCGGAAGGAUCAUUACCGAGUGCUGUCCCCCCCGGUCCGCCGGGCGGGGGCACUGCCUCCCACCCUUCGUCUACUAUCCUGUUGCUUCGGCGGGCCCGCCCUUGGGCCGCCGGGGGGAUUUUUUUCCCCCGGCCCGCGCCCGCCGGAGACACCUCAGAACACUGCAUGAAUUGUUGCCGUCUGAGUCUUUAUCAAAUAUAUAAAACUUUCAACAACGGAUCUCUUGGUUCCGGCAUCGAUGAAGAACGCAGC
This 310-nucleotide unclassified non-coding RNA is filed under the name uncultured fungus. RNAcentral's name for it is "partial contains small subunit ribosomal RNA, internal transcribed spacer 1, and 5.8S ribosomal RNA". The stretch from base 1 to 73 matches the Rfam family "Eukaryotic small subunit ribosomal RNA", at positions 1759 to 1831 of the family's 1831-position model. Lineage: Eukaryota; Fungi. The record is from RNAcentral.